This 255-nucleotide ribosomal RNA is filed under the name uncultured bacterium. RNAcentral describes it as "partial 16S ribosomal RNA". It matches the Rfam family "Bacterial small subunit ribosomal RNA", at positions 524 to 776 of the family's 1533-position model. The record is from RNAcentral.
UACGGGGGGGAGCAAGCGUUGUUCGGAUUUACUGGGCGUAAAGGGCGCGUAGGCGGCCUGUGCAAGUCAGUUGUGAAAUCUCCGAGCUUAACUCGGAACGGUCAACUGAUACUGCUCGGCUAGAGUGCGGAAGGGGCAACUGGAAUUCUUGGUGUAGCGGUGAAAUGCGUAGAUAUCAAGAGGAACACCUGCGGCGAAGGCGGGUUGCUGGGCCGACACUGACGCUGAGGCGCGAAAGCUAGGGGAGCAAACGGG